RNAcentral lists this ribosomal RNA (460 nucleotides) under uncultured bacterium. RNAcentral's name for it is "partial 16S ribosomal RNA". It matches the Rfam family "Bacterial small subunit ribosomal RNA", at positions 338 to 795 of the family's 1533-position model. The record is from RNAcentral.
CCUACGGGAGGCAGCAGUGAGGAAUAUUGGUCAAUGGACGAGAGUCUGAACCAGCCAAGUAGCGUGAAGGAUGACUGCCCUAUGGGUUGUAAACUUCUUUUAUAUGGGAAUAAAAUGUUCCACGUGUGGGAUUUUGUAUGUACCAUAUGAAUAAGGAUCGGCUAACUCCGUGCCAGCAGCCGCGGUAAUACGGAGGAUCCGAGCGUUAUCCGGAUUUAUUGGGUUUAAAGGGAGCGUAGGUGGAUUGUUUAGUCAGUUGUGAAAGUUUGCGGCUCAACCGUAAAAUUGCAGUUGAAACUGGCAGUCUUGAGUACAGUAGAGGUGGGCGGAAUUCGUGGUGUAGCGGUGAAAUGCUUAGAUAUCACGAAGAACUCCGAUUGCGAAGGCAGUUCACUGGACUGCAACUGACACUGAGGCUCGAAAGUGUGGGUAUCAAACAGGAUUAGAUACCCCUGUAGUC